GGAGGAUCCAAGCGUUAUCCGGAUUUAUUGGGUUUAAAGGGAGCGUAGGUUGACAUAUAAGUCAGCUGUGAAAGUUUACGGCUCAACCGUGAAAUUGCAGUUGAUACUGUAUGUCUUGAGUGUACAAGAGGUGGGCGGAAUUCGUGGUGUAGCGGUGAAAUGCUUAGAUAUCACGAAGAACUCCAAUUGCGAAGGCAGCUCACUGGGGUACAACUGACACUGAGGCUCGAAAGUGUGGGGGUAUCAAACAGGAUUAGAUACCCUGGUAGUCCACACAGUAAACGAUGAAUACUCGCUGUUUGCGAUAUACAGUAAGCGGCCAAGCGAAAGCAUUAAGUAUUCCACCUGGGAGUACGCCGGCAACGGUG
Molecule: ribosomal RNA, 368 nt
Filed under: uncultured organism
Description: partial 16S ribosomal RNA
Rfam family: Bacterial small subunit ribosomal RNA
Source: RNAcentral